CACUAUCGUUAACUGAAUACAUAGGUUAACGAGGCGAACCGGGGGAACUGAAACAUCUAAGUACCCCGAGGAAAAGAAAUCAACCGAGAUUCCCCCAGUAGCGGCGAGCGAACGGGGAGCAGCCCAGAGUCUGAAUCAGCUUGUGUGUUAGUGGAACGGUCUGGAAAGUCCGACGGUACAGGGUGAUAGUCCCGUACACCAAAAUGCACAGGUUGUGAACUCGAAGAGUAGGGCGGGACACGUGGUAUCCUGUCUGAAUAUGGGGGGACCAUCCUCCAAGGCUAAAUACUCCUGACUGACCGAUAGUGAACCAGUACCGUGAGGGAAAGGCGAAAAGAACCCCGGCGAGGGGAGUGAAAAAGAACCUGAAACCGUGUACGUACAAGCAGUGGGAGCACCUUCGGGUGUGACUGCGUACCUUUUGUAUAAUGGGUCAGCGACUUAUAUUCUGUAGCAAGGUUAACCGUAUAGGGGAGCCGCAGGGAAACCGAGUCUUAACUGGGCGUUAAGUUGCAGGGUAUAGACCCGAAACCCGGUGAUCUAGCCAUGGGCAGGUUGAAGGUUGGGUAACACUAACUGGAGGACCGAACCGACUAAUGUUGAAAAAUUAGCGGAUGACUUGUGGCUGGGGGUGAAAGGCCAAUCAAACCGGGAGAUAGCUGGUUCUCCCCGAAAGCUAUUUAGGUAGCGCCUCGUGAAUUCAUCUUCGGGGGUAGAGCACUGUUUCGGCUAGGGGGUCAUCCCGACUUACCAACCCGAUGCAAACUACGAAUACCGAAGAAUGUUAUCACGGGAGACACACGGCGGGUGCUAACGUCCGUCGUGAAGAGGGAAACAACCCAGACCGCCAGCUAAGGUCCCAAAGUCAUGGUUAAGUGGGAAACGAUGUGGGAAGGCACAGACAGCCAGGAUGUUGGCUUAGAAGCAGCCAUCAUUUAAAGAAAGCGUAAUAGCUCACUGGUCGAGUCGGCCUGCGCGGAAGAUGUAACGGGGCUAAACCAUGCACCGAAGCUGCGGCAGCGACACUAUGUGUUGUUGGGUAGGGGAGCGUUCUGUAAGCCUGCGAAGGUGUGCUGUGAGGCAUGCUGGAGGUAUCAGAAGUGCGAAUGCUGACAUAAGUAACGAUAAAGCGGGUGAAAAGCCCGCUCGCCGGAAGACCAAGGGUUCCUGUCCAACGUUAAUCGGGGCAGGGUGAGUCGACCCCUAAGGCGAGGCCGAAAGGCGUAGUCGAUGGGAAACAGGUUAAUAUUCCUGUACUUGGUGUUACUGCGAAGGGGGGACGGAGAAGGCUAUGUUAGCCGGGCGACGGUUGUCCCGGUUUAAGCAUGUAGGCUGGUUGUCCAGGCAAAUCCGGAUAAUCAAGGCUGAGGUGUGAUGACGAGGCACUACGGUGCUGAAGUAACAAAUGCCCUGCUUCCAGGAAAAGCCUCUAAGCAUCAGGUAACAUCAAAUCGUACCCCAAACCGACACAGGUGGUCAGGUAGAGAAUACCAAGGCGCUUGAGAGAACUCGGGUGAAGGAACUAGGCAAAAUGGUGCCGUAACUUCGGGAGAAGGCACGCUGGUGUGUAGGUGAAGCCCCUGCGGGUGGAGCUGAGACCAGUCGAAGAUACCAGCUGGCUGCAACUGUUUAUUAAAAACACAGCACUGUGCAAACACGAAAGUGGACGUAUACGGUGUGACGCCUGCCCGGUGCCGGAAGGUUAAUUGAUGGGGUUAUCCGUAAGGAGAAGCUCUUGAUCGAAGCCCCGGUAAACGGCGGCCGUAACUAUAACGGUCCUAAGGUAGCGAAAUUCCUUGUCGGGUAAGUUCCGACCUGCACGAAUGGCGUAAUGAUGGCCAGGCUGUCUCCACCCGAGACUCAGUGAAAUUGAACUCGCUGUGAAGAUGCAGUGUACCCGCGGCAAGACGGAAAGACCCCGUGAACCUUUACUAUAGCUUGACACUGAACAUUGAGCCUUGAUGUGUAGGAUAGGUGGGAGGCUUUGAAGCGUGGACGCCAGUCUGCGUGGAGCCAACCUUGAAAUACCACCCUUUAAUGUUUGAUGUUCUAACGUUGGCCCCUGACCGGGGUUGCGGACAGUGUCUGGUGGGUAGUUUGACUGGGGCGGUCUCCUCCCAAAGCGUAACGGAGGAGCACGAAGGUUAGCUAAUCCUGGUCGGACAUCAGGAGGUUAGUGCAAUGGCAUAAGCUAGCUUGACUGCGAGCGUGACGGCGCGAGCAGGUGCGAAAGCAGGUCAUAGUGAUCCGGUGGUUCUGAAUGGAAGGGCCAUCGCUCAACGGAUAAAAGGUACUCCGGGGAUAACAGGCUGAUACCGCCCAAGAGUUCAUAUCGACGGCGGUGUUUGGCACCUCGAUGUCGGCUCAUCACAUCCUGGGGCUGAAGUAGGUCCCAAGGGUAUGGCUGUUCGCCAUUUAAAGUGGUACGCGAGCUGGGUUUAGAACGUCGUGAGACAGUUCGGUCCCUAUCUGCCGUGGGCGCUGGAGAAUUGAGGGGGGCUGCUCCUAGUACGAGAGGACCGGAGUGGACGCAUCACUGGUGUUCGGGUUGUCAUGCCAAUGGCACUGCCCGGUAGCUAAAUGCGGAAGAGAUAAGUGCUGAAAGCAUCUAAGCACGAAACUUGCCCCGAGAUGAGUUCUCCCUGAGACUUUAAGUCUCCUGAAGGAACGUUAAAGACGAUGACGUUGAUAGGCCGGGUGUGUAAGCGCAGCGAUGCGUUGAGCUAACCGGUACUAAUGAACCGUGAGGCUUAACCUU
This 2758-nucleotide ribosomal RNA is filed under the name Klebsiella pneumoniae. Its description in RNAcentral is "bacterial LSU rRNA". It matches the Rfam family "Bacterial large subunit ribosomal RNA". Lineage: Bacteria; Pseudomonadati; Pseudomonadota; Gammaproteobacteria; Enterobacterales; Enterobacteriaceae. The record is from RNAcentral.